RNAcentral lists this transfer RNA (75 nucleotides) under Rhodospirillaceae bacterium. Its description in RNAcentral is "tRNA-Arg". It matches the Rfam family "tRNA". Rfam says of the family: Transfer RNA (tRNA) molecules are approximately 80 nucleotides in length. The record is from RNAcentral. RNAcentral also lists the same sequence under 2 other names. Lineage: Bacteria; Pseudomonadati; Pseudomonadota; Alphaproteobacteria; Rhodospirillales; Rhodospirillaceae.
GCCCUCAUAGUUCAAUGGAUAGAACACCAGCCUUCUAAGCUGGUUAUGUAGGUUCGAUUCCUACUGAGGGCACCA